Molecule: ribosomal RNA, 437 nt
Filed under: uncultured bacterium
Lineage: Bacteria
Description: bacterial SSU rRNA
Rfam family: Bacterial small subunit ribosomal RNA
Source: RNAcentral
UUACGGAAGGCAGCAGUCGGGAAUUUUGGGCAAUGGGCGAAAGCCUGACCCAGCAACGCCGCGUGAGGGAUGAAGGCCUUCGGGUCGUAAACCUCUUUUCUCAGGGACGAUGAUGACGGUACCUGAGGAAUAAGCCACGGCUAACUACGUGCCAGCAGCCGCGGUAAUACGUAGGUGGCGAGCGUUGUCCGGAUUUACUGGGCGUAAAGAGCGCGCAGGCGGUCGUACAAGUCGAAUGUGAAAGCCCCCGGCUCAACUGGGGAGGGUCAUUCGAUACUGUUCGACUCGAAGGCAGGAGAGGGAAGUGGAAUUCCCGGUGUAGUGGUGAAAUGCGUAGAUAUCGGGAGGAACACCAGUGGCGAAGGCGACUUCCUGGCCUGUUCUUGACGCUGAGGCGCGAAAGCUAGGGUAGCAAACGGGAUUAGAUACCCCGGUAC